CAUAGCAGGGGAGGGUGCGCUCCGCCUGGCGGCGGCUUGUUUGGGCGAAUGACGGUCUGAGCAUCCCUGGCUCAGCAGAAGGUUCGAAGUCCACUGCUCGGGCCGCUGCUACGUCUUUCUCACCACCAAGAAGGAGGAGCAAGAGGUGUGUAACCAAUCUUUCAUUCCUAGCUUCUGCCAACCCAUGGAUACCAGCACAACUCAAAGUAGACAAGUCAAGGAAGACCUACAAAAUUAGUUGCACGUCUAUCUCUCUCUCUAUGUGUUAUCUGGUGCAUGUAUGGGUGAGAAGUAGAGGAAGAGGGAGAGAGAGCACAUUCUGAAAUUGAAUGGAACUUCCAAUCCAAGUUUAAUUUUCAUUGGGCAUUCAAAUUUUAUUUUGCUUUUCUUAGAUUUUGGCUGGGUGCUUAAACAUUUGUACACAUUGGUUUCAGAUUUUAGUUUAAAGUACAAAUAGGAGUCAAGGAAUAGUGUUUUUUUGAAUUUAGAAAUAGGGAGAGGAAGGGAAAUUAUUUAUUAUUGUUUGCAUGUAUUGAACGAGUGUACAUUUGAGAAAGAAGAAAUAGGGCCUAUAAAAUUAGGUGGAAGAUAUGCCGAUAGGGCCAAUAAAUUUCUAUUGGGAGGAAGACGUUGUCUGAAAAUAGUUGAUUUAUGCAUGGUUCAAUAGUUAUCAUUAUGACCAUUAUUUCCUAUGCAAGAAGACUAUUGUUGUUACAUCCAUUCCCAGUAUAUGAAUCCAUGUGUGUAUCAGUGUAUGACACUUCCAAACUUGGAAUUUUUGGUUUGAAAGUUAGUUUAGUUAUUUUUUUUGAUUUAUAUCUUCUCACAUGUAACAUCCUCUUAAAAUUUGAAAUUUUCAAAAAAAAAAACUAAAUGAAGAUAGAGUAGCAUGCUCUUAAUAGUACAACUUAAACUCUCACACGCUUUAUGUCUUCUUUGAAGUUCGUAUUUUCAAAGAAUCACGCGUCUAUGUUAGAUCAUAUAUGUUGUUUAGUUCAGACUUGUGCGUGUUCAUGCAUUGGCAUUAAUUUGACAGAGAUAUAGCAUGAUUUUGUACACAUGGGCAACAAGAAACCUCACAUUAAUUUGAGAGGUAAAGUACGGUGCCACAUCAUCGCCUUCUUGUUGUACGUAAAGUAUGGCACCGUCUUUUCGGACUUAAGGGAUAUUGUUUAACAAAAUUUGAGAGGUAAAGUACAGUACUACAUCAUCGCCUUCUUUAUUUGACGUAAAGUAUGUCGCCGUCUUUUCGGACUUAAAGGAUAUUGUUUAAAAAAAUUUGAGAGGUAAAGUACAGUGCCACAUCAUCGCCUUCUUGUUGGAUGUAAUGCAUGGCACCGUCUUUUCGGACUUAAGGGAUAUUGUUUAACAAAAUUUGUGAUGUAAAGUACGGUGCCACAUCAUCGCUUUCUUGUUGGACGUAGAGGUACUAUUUAACAAAGUUUUCUAUGAAUAAGUUUGGGUAUUAACCAAUUUGUGUUGCUUUAGAAUUUGCCACCGUCCAGUUUUAUGAAUAAGUGGAAAAUGGAAGCCGUAAGGACCACCUUCAUUGUAAUAUCUCAUGACCCAUGUUACAUUCCCAUUCCCUCUCUUAGGCUACGUCUUAUUGACUCGUGUUCCGUGAUGAGGUCACCUGUUUUAUGUAGAUUCUAAUUAGCUGCAAGAUCAUACAUAUCUUUUGACCUACUUGAUAUGAGUGUAUGCAAGAAAUAAUUAAGGGAUUGUGUUGGACUCUUGGUCGACCACAACGAUCACGACACAGUGAAUGGGUUUUGAAUCUUCUUUGCACCAUCAGAUCGGAAUCAAUGUGUAUAUUGUAGUUAUGGACGGCCGUCUGCUUAAUGUUGUUUUUAGAGCUUAAGUGGUGAAGACAUGUCUAAGACAUGAUAUACAUGUACCCUGUGCGUAUGCAAUUGUUUUUAUAGCCUUGCUAGCAUCAUAAAUUAAUUGUGGGAUAUGAUGCACAGGAGUAGCAUCAUGUGUAUAUUUUUCACCACCUGAGUACCACUCUUAUUACUGCAUUUAUUUUUCUCAAGAUAUGUACAUUUACAAUGGGGUCUUAGGAGGAGGUUUCAAAACUAAAUGAACGCAAUAGUUUACUUUGCAACUACCUGCUAGGUUUGCAAUCAUUUACAUCAAAUGGCAACUACGGGGUAUUCAACGAUUUGUGUUAUCGGUUUUGUCCAGAUGAACUUUGUAGUUAGAAAGGAGUUCCGAAAUUGCCUAGGGGCAUGUUUGCCUCCCCCACACACACAACAGUACACAAAUUUUCUGAUUGUUCGUGUUGGCCAAUGGAAAAUGGAGUCAAAAUUCUGGAUUUUCUACUUUAUAUCAAAGCUCUUCCCCAACCCGUUAUUUUGGAUUUUGGUAGAUAUAGUCGAGUAUUCACUCGCAUCAUGAAGAAGUUUCUCUUUUGGUUUGCAGGUUCAUUCGUUGAUAUGAAGUUGUUGCUUCAUAUAAUGUAUCUAAGCAAUGGAAGUUUGAUGUGUACAUAUUAACACACAUAUAUAUACAUGUCCUGACCUUUUAUUCUUUUCUUAUUGCAGGUUCAUACAUCAUCGCACAGAUUAGUUCGUUCACUAGGUUGUGAUGUCAAGGUUACACAUGUACACCACUUAUUCCUAAGAAUAGUAUUCUAUAUUUAGCAGAGGAGAAUAUCGUUCAUUGUAAAUCAGUUAGGUGUAUAUGAACAACCAAGAAGCUCAUUGGUCCUGAAUCCUUGGAUAUUAGGAAGUUUGAAGAGGCCCAACAUGCAUAGCCAAGAUUUUAUUAGGAACCAACUAGCCACCAUACUGCAUGUAGACUCUUUUUAUUUGGUUCCUUGAUCAUGGACUGAUGAUGUCCCUUCUUUCUUCAGCCAAACUGAAGCACUUCAUGUUAGAUUGUCUUUGCUUUAGGAUUAAUUGUAAUGCAUCAUCUCACCGUUUAUGUUUCAUGGAUGAAUUCAAAUAUAGUAUUUGUAUGUUUGAUGGA
Molecule: long non-coding RNA, 2973 nt
Filed under: Hordeum vulgare
Lineage: Eukaryota; Viridiplantae; Streptophyta; Magnoliopsida; Poales; Poaceae
Description: long non-coding RNA (HVUL_LNC008924)
Source: RNAcentral